This is a long non-coding RNA of Suricata suricatta (meerkat), 3951 nucleotides long. NCBI's taxonomy places the organism in Eukaryota, Metazoa, Chordata, Mammalia, Carnivora, Herpestidae. The record is from Ensembl.
GGUGGAUGGGGUGGGGGAGCAGCCGGUGUCCUUUGCUGACCAAUUCAGCAGCCGUGCAUAUGGCUAAGACCUUCCUGGCUUCCUUCCUGGCUCCAGCUCCCAGACUUGUCCCCGCACCGCUUCUUCCAAUCCCUUCAUUCACGGCUUCCUGCCUCCAGGUCUAGUUGUUGGCAUAGUUGCCCCAAACUAGGCGGCCAGGGCUGCUACCCCUAGAGGUCUAGGAGGGGAUGGAAGCCCCGGGCUAAGUUCAGAGGAGGUUGUCCAGGCACCAUUGUUGCAACCCCCACCCCCAGGCCACCAUACCUGCUGCCACUGCCGGUGUGCUUAGCUCCUCUGCGGGGUGUUGCCCGACUACUCCCGAAUUAUGUUGUUGUUUUACUGCUUCUGAAAUUCCUAAAUCCAAGAUCCAAUCCCCUGGGAACCCUUAGAAGAAAAAGAAUUCUUCCAGAAUUCCAGCCCUACGUGGCUAAACCUGGGGUGAUGUGCUCGUGGUAGGCAGUGACAUGAUUCAUGGUCUCUAAUGAAUCUCUCCUCCCUGCAUCUAGGACCUGGAGUCAUCUCCUCCCACGUUGAUGUGGAGCCGGGCCACGUGACUCGCACUGGCCUAUGUGCACCAGCACAGGUGACCCAGGCAGAGGCUUGAUAAGCACAGAUACACGGGCAUCUGUCCUUGUCUACCGGAGUGGUCAUAUGGAGCCAGGGAGCCCCACACAUUUGAAUGGGGCCUUCUCAGACCCAAUUGCCUCAUGAGGAACCCCACAGAGGACUGCCUGGCUGAGCCCAGAAUGGGUGACGCCGCCCCCGGUGACUUCCCGCAGAGCGAGGAGACCAGCGUGCUAGAGCAAGCCCUGACACCUCGCGACGGCCUUCCUGGGGCGCCGCACAGAGCCCAGCGAGAAGCUGUGCACAUUGAGAAGAUCAUGUUGAAAGGAGUCCAGAGAAAAAGGGCUGACAAAUAUUGGGAGUACACCUUCAAAGUAAAUUGGUCUGAUCUUUCAGUCACAACAGUAACAAAAACCCACCAAGAACUACAGGAAUUUCUACUGAAGCUCCCAAAGGAAGUGUCUUCGGAGACUUUUGAUAAGACCAUCCUAAGAGCCCUGAAUCAGGGUUCACUGAAGAGGGAAGAACGGCGACAUCCUGACCUAGAGCCCAUCCUAAGGCAGCUAUUUUCAACUUCAUCCCAAGCUUUUCUACAGAGUCAGAAAGUGCACAGCUUCUUUCAGUCCAUAUCACCAGACCCUCUGCACAGCCUCAAUAACUUCCAGUCCUCUCUGAAGACUUCAAAAAUAUUAGAACACUUAAAGGAAGACAGCUCAGAAGCUUCAAGUCAAGAAGAAGAUGUGUUACAACACACCGUAAUCCACAAGAAACACACCGGGAAGAGUCCCCUUGUGAACACCAUCGGUACAAGUUGUUCUCCGUUGGAUGGGCUCACUGUGCAGUAUUCUGAGCAGAAUGGAGUUGUGGAUUGGAGGAAGCAGAGCUGCCCCCCUCUUCAGCACCCGGAGCACUGUGUGGCCUUAGCUGACCAGCAUUCAACCGAAAAACGAAGCUUAUCUUCAAUAAAUAAGAAGAAAGGAAAGCCACAAAUAGAAAAGGAGAAAAUUAAGAAAACUGACAACAGAUUGAAUAGUAGAAUAAAUGGGAUCAGAUUGUCUGCUUCUCAGCAUGCCCACGGUGGUUCCGUGAAAGAUGUGAACUUGGAUGUUGGAUCUGGACGUGACACGUGUGGAGAGACCUCUUCAGAGAGCUACAGCUCUCCCUCGAGUCCACGGCAUGAUGGGAGAGAGAGCUUUGAAAGCGAAGAAGAGAAAGACCGAGACACAGACAGCAAUUCUGAGGAUUCUGGGAAUCCGUCAACAACCAGGUUUACGGGCUACGGUUCUGUCAACCAGACCGUCACUGUCAAGCCACCUGUUCAGAUUGCUUCAUUAGGAAGCGACAACGGAGGCCUUUUAGAAGAUGCCCUAAAUGCACCCAAGUAUCAGCAUAUUUCUUUUAUGCCAACUUUACACUGUGUCAUGCACAACGGUGCCCAGAAGUCUGACGUCGGUGUCCCUCCACCCAAGUCCGCUGACGGCAAGACCAUAGGGAUGCUUGUUCCCAGUCCUGUUGCUAUUUCUGCAAUAAGGGAGUCUGCAAACUCUACCCCUGUUGGAGUACUGGGGCCAGCAGCUUCUGCCGGAGAACCCGAGAAACACCUGGAGUUACUGGCUUCCCCUUUGCCUCUUCCGUCAGCGUUCCUCGCACACGGCAGCGCCCCUGCUCUGCACCUGACAAUUCAGAGGCUAAAGUUGCCGCCACCGCAGGGGUCCUCGGAGAGCUGCCCGGUCAACAUCCCACAGCAGCCGCCCGCAAGUCUGAGCAUCGGAUCACCAAACACUGCCUUUCUCCCUGUCCACAGCCCGGGGAGCUUUCCGGGGUCUCCCAUUGCUACCACGGACCCCAUCGCCAAGUCUGCGUCCCCGGUGGUAGGACUCAAUCAAAUGGUGCCUCAACUCGAGGGAAGCACCGGGACAGUCCCUCAGCCCAGCAAUGUGAAGGUUGUUGUCCCCGCAGCCGGCCUCUCGGCUGCACAGCCACCAGCAUCCUACACCCUGCCGGGGCCCCCCCUUGGCACCGGCGCGCUGCCCAGCCAGAGCUCCGGCGCGCUCAGCCCAGCNNNNNNNNNNNNNNNNNNNNNNNNNNNNNNNNNNNNNNNNNNNNNNNNNNNNNNNNCCCCCGCGGUCCCCACCCACACCCCGGGCCCCGCGCCCAGCCCGAGCCCCGCGCUCACCCACAGCACCGCGCAGAGCGACAGCACGUCCUACAUCAGCGCCGUGGGGAACACGAACGCUAACGGGACAGUCCUGCCGCCGCAGCAGAUGGGCUCGGGGCCCUGCGGCUCUUGCGGGCGACGGUGCGGCUGUGGGACCAACGGCAGCCUUCAGCUGAACAGCUACUACUAUCCUAACCCGAUGCCCGGGCCCAUGUACCGGGUCCCGUCCUUCUUCACUCUGCCGUCCCUCUGCAACGGCAGCUACCUCAACCAAGCACAUCAGAGCAAUGGAAACCAACUUCCUUUCUUUCUGCCUCAGACUCCGUAUGCAAACGGACUGGUGCACGACCCCGUCCUGGGGAGCCAAGCCAGCUACGGCAUGCAGCAGAUGGCGGGCUUCGGGAGGUUCUACCCCGUGUACCCAGCGCCCGGCGUGGUUGCCAGUGCGAGCGGUUCGGGGCCCAAGAAGAACGGGAACGUCUCCUGUUACAACUGCGGUGUGAGUGGACACUACGCACAGGAGUGCAAGCAGUCGUCCAUGGAGGCCAGCCCACAAGGCACUUACAGACUGAGAUACGCACCUCCCCUCCCCCCUUCUAAUGAUACGUUGGAUUCUGCAGACUGAACCACGUAAAGCUUGACUGCUUAAUACCCUGACGUGUUGGGGAGUCAUGGUGGGGUGUGGAGGGGAGGAAAGGAAAGGUAUUUUGUGUGUGUUUCUUUGUCUGUACAUUUCCUAGAUUUCUAUGCACUUGGGAUUUUUCAUUUCUGUUGUACUGAUGUCCAAAUCAAAAAAAAUGCAUUGCUUUUGAGCCUCUGGUCUCCUGGUUCAACAACAGGCCUAUCUGUAUGAAACAUGUAAUUUAAACCUCCACACUAUCAAAAGGAACAUGUUUGCUGUGCUUUUUUUUUACACUGAAUACUUGCUGUGUGCAAUGUUUACUGAAUCUUUAAAACUGUGUAUUUGACCUUUUUUUUUUUUUUACAACACUGGUGACAGUCAUAUGGUUUUCAAAAAGAGAAACUGCUCCUUCCCAGCUUUUCUCACUUUCACCCCAAAGGACACACGUCUCCCCGUCACCCCCUCUCCUGUGGCCUGUAAAUCCAGGGUGAAGUGCUUCACCUUCAACUGAGGAGAAAUCAAGUUCCCCAAGUUGUGUGUAUAUAAUAAACAGCAUCCCGUGAAUACA